RNAcentral lists this ribosomal RNA (322 nucleotides) under uncultured eukaryote. Its description in RNAcentral is "partial 18S ribosomal RNA". It matches the Rfam family "Eukaryotic small subunit ribosomal RNA", at positions 1470 to 1796 of the family's 1831-position model. The record is from RNAcentral.
CCCUUAGAUGUUCUGGGCCGCACGCGUGCUACACUGAGUGGAUCAGCGGGUCAGGUUACGCGAGAGCGUUUCCUAAUCUUCAAAUCCGCUCGUGAUGGGGAUUGACGGUUGCAAUUUUCCGUCAUGAACGAGGAAUACCUUGUAAGCGCGGGUCAUCAUCCCGCGCUGAAUACGUCCCUGCCCUUUGUACACACCGCCCGUCGCUCCUACCGAUUGAGUGGUCCGGUGAGGCUUUGGGAUCUAAGCGGAAAGAGCGUUUCGCUCCUUUUGCUGGGAGAACUCAGUCGAACCUUAUCAUUUAGAGGAAGGAGAAGUCGUAACA